RNAcentral lists this ribosomal RNA (2578 nucleotides) under Triticum aestivum (bread wheat). Its description in RNAcentral is "partial small subunit ribosomal RNA". Lineage: Eukaryota; Viridiplantae; Streptophyta; Magnoliopsida; Poales; Poaceae. The record is from RNAcentral.
GUCUUCUGCUUCCUCCAAACCCAAACCACCUAACCUUGACGACUUUCCAAGUUGCUAACUAAAAGUGAGCGGAUACUUGUUUUGUUCUGUUUAUGCCGCACGCAAGUAAGGAAUGUAAACAGUGCGCUGCCGUCCUUCUUGUCGAUUACCCUUUUGGUGGGAGCGACACACUUCUAGUUUGUUUUAAUGUGUUCUGUACGCAGCGGAACUGGCGAAGGGGAUCCUAUAUCCUAUAGAUAGAUGGCAGAGAAAGAGGUCAGAUUAAUUGGAGCGAAGCGGCUGAGCGGGCCAGGGUGUUAGGUAGGCUUAUUGGUGGCAGUCGCUCCCUUUUUUUUGUCUGUGGCUUUGUUUUGCGCAGGCGUUGUACCAGUGCAGGAAGAGAAGAAGGGAAACGGAGGGCAAGGUCGAGCGCCCGUGUCGUCGUAGGCAGCGGUGAUUAAUUAACGUCGACAUCGUGGCGGGCGGGCGAGGCGUCUCGAAUAAUGUUCGUGGUCGCUCCUCUCAGCUCCGGGCGUGCACCCACCCAGACACGCGCGGCAGGCGGAGGAGGUGGUCCGGUGGGAGCAGCAGCGGCAGCAGCAGGAUCUAGGCGUCGUCACGCACGGCCUCCCUGCGCGCUACCGGCGGUCGGCACCGGAGGGCGAGGAGGAGCAGGACCGGCGGGAGGACCAGCCCGAGCGGAGGCGGAGGAGGAAGUAGAGGCUGCCGCACAAGGUCCGCCCGCGGCCUAGAUGGUGCCCCUCCUGGAACGACGUCCGGUUCUCCCCAUGCAAAGGAACGAGGAGAGGUGGAGGGAGAGAGGAGCGACUCGGGGUGCGAGAUUACGAACGAACGACCAAAGCCUCGAACUAGACCUUAAACUCUUCUAACCCGACCCCGGACCCACAAGCCAAUGUACGAGGCGAAUCUACGCACCCCACAGCUAAGGGACUUUGCAGGGCGCGGCUGCGUUGCAGACGCCAGCACAGUAGUCUAGUCGCCAGUAAGUUGACAUCCGCUACUCCUUUUUAUUUAUCCCUAACUCCCUUGUAAAACCACCGAGUCAACAAUCUACUAAUGCCACUCCUUGACCCCACGAGAUGCUCAACUUGCGUCCCUACUCCCGACAUCGAAGGGCUCCUACAAGAAAUGGCUGAUUAAUUUUUCCUUAACUGUACCAAACGGCUGAUCAGGCGCAAAGUACAACAAGCGUGACAUGUAUGAUGUACGCGUACGAUCAAUAUUGAACAACGACCUGUUAUUUUGGAUUAAUGUGGGUGUAUCCUAUCCUUCUGAACGAUUAGCACUACACCUUAAAGGCUCGGACGACGAACCAUGAUUCUACGACUAGUGAUUUAUCUCUCGCACCAUUUGACUGUAUGCAUGCUAUUUUACCGCCUCUCCUCUAAACGACUCGAACACUACGAUUUUGGCCUUGAACGACAGAUCAUUCCGUACGUUAUAGGUCCAUCACUUCGGACAUAGGGAAUAAGUCAAUCUUCGUGGUGCAAUAACACUGUUUAAUUGGUCACAUCAGAGUUGUAUAAAGACGUUCAAUAGGUUUUAAAGUAACCCAUUCAACCAAGGUCCGAAGGUCCCCGUAUGAUUGGUUUACGAAGCUCCGUCGGGGUCUCACGUAUAAAACCAAAGAAGACAAGUGAUUUGUUAUGGACGUACAACGAUUGUGACAUGGUUCAUCGUAGUUCUAUCUAGGAUUAAGUAGUAACAUUACCUACCACAGACUGUAUGUAGAUGGGUACAACUUCUGAAAGUCACGGAACUAGAUAAUAUAAAGAGAAUCCAGUAUGAACACGAAAAGUCUAACAGGACACUUGAAACUCAAGGUUUUGAUGUGGCAGUAGUGUUCGUCCACGUUUCCCGGUUUUAUAGGGCGAUUUCUGACGACACUAAGAAAGUUCCUUAAACGUACGGGUAAAUUAUUGAUGUAGUUACUACUUUCGUUACUGACACGUAGGUGUUACAAGUCGAUGUAGUUGGAGAUACCUUUCAUGGGUGGUCCGGACAAACGGGUGCUCACGGCUCUUCCGUUCGAUCCAGAAAGAACGCUUCCGCAGGGGGUCUUUCUGCAACAAUUUUCACCACAGGUUUCCCGAGCUUCGUCGAGCGAACGAAACUAAUGAGAGUACACACCUGAUCAUCGUAAUAAGAAGGUCAUCCACCACCACCACCACUACGGAAAUAAAGAGGGAACAAAAAGCUUACUACAACUCGGACUUAGGCGACGACGAGGAAUUCCGCGAGAACUUUAAAAGGAAGAACGUUAUAGAACAUUAAACUUCGAUACAGUCUAAUGUAUAAGAAACCUCAGAGUGGACCAACGGUUGAAUCUUAAGUGACUAACAGCAACAUAGUAUGGAGAGUGUGACAUAAUACAGAGUGAGCACACAUUACUACUAUUGAUAAAAAAAAAACGAGUGACCUUUCUCAAACCAACAUACACUUAGUAGUACCGAAUCAAGUAAGAUCAGAGUUUCUUUCAGCACUAUUAACCAAAGGGAUAGAUAUUCGACGUCCAAAAGAGAACGGUUUCCAACGACGGAAAAUAAAAGUGAACGAAGUCUGUUUAAAACAUCAGGGA